CCCGCUGAACUUAAGCAUAUCAAUAAGCGGAGGAAAAGAAACUAACAAGGAUUCCCCUAGUAACUGCGAGUGAAGCGGGAAGAGCUCAAAUUUAAAAUCUGGCGUGCCUCCGGUCGUCCGAGUUGUAGUCUAGAGAAGCGUUUUCCGUGUUGGACCGUGUAUAAGUCUCUUGGAACAGGGCGUCAUAGAGGGUGAGAAUCCCGUCUUUGACACGGACUACCAAUGCUUUGUGAUGCGCUCUCAAAGAGUCGAGUUGUUUGGGAAUGCAGCUCAAAAUGGGUGGUAAAUUCCAUCUAAAGCUAUAUAUAGGUGAGAGACCGAUAGCGAACAAGUACCGUGAGGGAAAGAUGAAAAGCACUUUGGAAAGAGAGUUAAACAGUACGUGAAAUUGCUGAAAGGGAAACGCUUGAAGUCAGUCACGUCUGCCAGGACUCAGCCUUGCUUCUGCUUGGUGUACUUUCUGGUUGGAUGGGCCAACAUCAAUUUCGACCGUUGGAGAAAGGCUUUGGGAAUGUGGCACCUUCGGGUGUGUUAUAGCCCUUUGUUGUAUACAACGGUUGGGAUUGAGGACUGCAGCAUGCCUUCAUGGCCGGGGUUCGCUCCGACGUACAUGCUUAGGAUGUUGGCAUAAUGGCUUUAAGCGACGCCGUCUUGAAACACGG
RNAcentral lists this ribosomal RNA (662 nucleotides) under uncultured fungus. Its description in RNAcentral is "eukaryotic LSU rRNA". It matches the Rfam family "Eukaryotic large subunit ribosomal RNA", at positions 24 to 664 of the family's 3401-position model. The record is from RNAcentral. Lineage: Eukaryota; Fungi.